GGUCAACUGUUUGUUUCCAUAUUUUGACUAUUGUGAAUGAGGCUGUAAUGAAUAGGCAGGGCAGAUAUUUUUUGCACCAGGUGAUUCUGAUAUCCAUUAUUUUGGAUAUGUAUCCAGAAAUGAGAUUACUGGAUCUCACAGUUCUAUUAUGUCCAGUUCACAUCCUUUGCCUCAAGCACACCCUUUUGUUGAGAGGGGCAUUUGCUUUAAGAUUUCGAACUUCCAAAUUCCCAAUAUGAUUUGCCUCAUGUUCAAAAUUUACAAAGUUCACAGUAGGAAACAAGUGAAGACACCCCUACUGUUAAUACAUUUAUCUUCAAUUGUCCAUUAGAAAUGAAAGAGACAAAAUAUUGAAAAGCUUCAAAUUCCAUACUAGCAGCCAAGCAGUAGGUAAUUUAGAAAGAAUGUUAGAUACAAAAUUACCACUAUAAAUGCUGAACCCACUCACUGAUUUUAUCAAUUCAAAACUAGAGUUUAAAAUCUAUUUUAAUUUUUUAAAUUAAAUAUCUAUUUACUAAAAGAUGAUUACCUUGGAUAUUUAAGUUACAGUUACUAUAUCUUUCUUUUUUGAACAAAGACCAGGUUCUAACUGCAUUUUAUGCUCCUGGAAUCUUGUCAUGGAUGCAUUUGAAAUUGUACAGCCAAGAGGAUACCUCAACCCAAACAAUCUUCAGAAUUUCAAAAUUUACAUGUGGGAAACAUAAUGAUUCAUCUCGAAAUUUGCAUAAACCUUGAAACCUUGGGAAGAAUAACCUAAAAACAACAAAGCAGUGCAGUAAAUGUUUGGGUUAUAAUAUUUGCAACUUGAGCAAUUACAGCCACACAUUCAUAUUUCCUACCACUGAACAUUGACAAAGGCCAUGCCCAGCACUGCUUGAUGAAACACACAGAGUUAGUGAUCAAAGGCAUCACUGCUCUCUUCAAGGGGAAAGAAUGUGGCAAAAUUAGGGCAUAUAUUCUGCAGAAAGAGCUUCCUGGUAUACUUUUCAUCAUCACUAUCCUUUGAACAUAUUAUCCACAGGAAGAGAAUGCUAACCUAUGAUAUUUUGGGUUAAACCACAGCAUUGAGCACACCAUUCAUUCCAGAGGAGUUUCUCCAUGCCAGCAUGUGUCUUCAAUGGCAGCCUCUAAGAGGCUAAAUAAAGAGGAUGAUGAUUACAUCUUACUUCUAAAAGGAUUUUUCUUGGCAUGGGGGUAUACUGGGAUUAUGAAAAACAAGGAAACAGAGAGUAGAGCCCUAGCAACAUGAUUAAUUAGUUCGGAGAGACUUCAGCUACACAGUUUUUUUUCAGUCAUCCAAAAUACUGGAAUUUGUCUAGAAACCACUCAGCUGAGACCAUCUCUUUUCCCUGGCACUGCCAGCAGUAAUAGUGACCCAAUCGUGGACACCAUGUCAAGCCUGAAAAUGAAAUCAGCAUUGCAGAAGGACAAGCCAAGAGAUGGGGGAAAAACUGAGUCUUGAUGGCAUUGCCUUAGGUCUUCAGUCAAGAGUUAUGUGAAGAGGAUGGGAUUAAGAUGGUGGAAUAGAAGGACUAGAGCUCAACUUCUCUCCUAAAAUCAACACAAUUCACAACUAAAGGCUGAACAAUCUUCAACCAAAUGGACCAGAAACUCUAAAAAAGAUAUCCUACUCCAGAAGAAAAAGAGGAGGCCACAUCAAGAGGUAGGAGGGGCGAUGAUAUGAUAUAAGCAAUCCCAUACCUCCUGGGUGGGAAGCCCCACAGACUGGAAACUAACUGGUUCACAGAGACUCACUUACAGGAGUGAAAGUUCUGAGCCCCACAUCAAACUCCCACGUGUGGGGAUCUGGCACUGGGAGAAAGAGCCUCUGAAGCAUCUGGCAUUGAAGGCCAGUGGAGCUUGUGCACAGGAGCUCCACAGGACUGGGGGAAAUGGAGACCCCAUUCUUAAAAGGCUCACACAGACUUCCACAUGCGCUAGGUCCCAGGGCAAAACAAAGUUUUCCUAGGAAUCUGGGUCAAACAAGACUGCAGUUCUUUGAGGACAUCCUGGGAAAACAGGGGUGGAUGUGGCUUGUUGUGAGGGAAGGACAUUGGAAGCAAAGCUCUCGGGAAUAUUCAGCAGCUGCCUUUCUCUGGAGGUGGCCAUUUUGGGAAAAUCUGUCCCCACCCAUCAGCACUGAGAAGCCCCAGGGCAAACAACAAUCCAGGUGGGAUCACAGCUCUGCCCCUCAGUAAACAGGCUGCCUAAGGACCCCCCAGGCACACAGCUGCCUCUAAUCCCAUCCAGAGACAAAGCCCCACCCACCAGAGGGAUAAGAAUCAGCUCCACCUACCAGAGGGAAGGUAUCAGUCCCUCCCAUCAGGAAGCCUACAGCAAGCACAUGUACCAACUUCAGCCACAAGGAGGGCAGACACCAGAAGUAAGAGAGGUUACAACUCUAUUAUCUGUAAAAAGAUCACCACACCAAAAACCUAUAAAAAUGAAAAGACAGAGAACUAUAACUCAGAUGAGGGAGAAAGAAAAAACCCCAGAAAAUCAGCUAAGUGCUCAGGAGAUUCUCAGCCUCUGGGAAAAAGACUUUAGACUGUUGAUGCUGUUGAUGCAAGACAUUGGAAAAACUGGAGGCAAAGAUGGAUAACUUACAGGAAACACUGAGCAAAGAGAUGCAAGAUAUAAAACUUAAACAAGAGGAGAUGCAAAAUACAAUAACUGUAAUAAAAAUUUCACUAGAAGCAGCUAACAGCAAAAUACAGGAGGCAGAAGAAUGAAUAAGCAAGGUGGAGGACAGAUUAGUGGAAAUUACAGAUGUGGA
RNAcentral lists this long non-coding RNA (2776 nucleotides) under Sus scrofa (pig). RNAcentral describes it as "lncRNA (ENSSSCG00050021265.1)". Lineage: Eukaryota; Metazoa; Chordata; Mammalia; Artiodactyla; Suidae. The record is from RNAcentral.